UCAACUAACCUGGGCCCUUCGGGACUCUUU
Molecule: non-coding RNA, 30 nt
Filed under: Rattus norvegicus (Norway rat)
Lineage: Eukaryota; Metazoa; Chordata; Mammalia; Rodentia; Muridae
Source: RNAcentral